Molecule: ribosomal RNA, 492 nt
Filed under: uncultured bacterium
Lineage: Bacteria
Description: partial 16S ribosomal RNA
Rfam family: Bacterial small subunit ribosomal RNA
Source: RNAcentral
AGUGAACGCUGGCGGUAGGCCUAACACAUGCAAGUCGAACGGCAGCACAGUAAGAGCUUGCUCUUACGGGUGGCGAGUGGCGGACGGGUGAGGAAUACAUCGGAAUCUACUUUUUCGUGGGGGAUAACGUAGGGAAACUUACGCUAAUACCGCAUACGACCUACGGGCGAAAGCAGGGGAUCUUCGGACCUUGCGCGAUUGAAUGAGCCGAUGUCGGAUUAGCUAGUUGGCGGGGUAAAGGCCCACCAAGGCGACGAUCCGUAGCUGGUCUGAGAGGAUGAUCGGCCACACUGGAACUGAGACACGGUCCAGACUCCUACGGGAGGCAGCAGUGGGGAAUAUUGGACAAUGGGCGCAAGCCUGAUCCAGCCAUACCGCGUGGGUGAAGAAGGCCUUCGGGUUGUAAAGCCCUUUUGUUGGGAAAGAAAAGCAGCAGGUUAAUACCCCGCUGUUCUGACGGUACCCAAAGAAUAAGCACCGGCUAACUUCGUG